This 457-nucleotide small RNA is filed under the name Pongo abelii (Sumatran orangutan). RNAcentral's name for it is "retained intron". The record is from RNAcentral. Lineage: Eukaryota; Metazoa; Chordata; Mammalia; Primates; Hominidae.
AGACGUUUAGACACAAAGACCCCAUCUUGGCCACCAGGAUUAAUGAUACCUACAUUGUGAGCAGCUGUGAGCGAGGGGUGGUGAAAGUGUGGCACAUUGCCAUGGCCCAGUUGGUAAAGACUCUCAAUGGCCACGAGGGAGCCGUGAAAUGCCUGUUCUUUGACCAGUGGCAUCUCCUCUCAGGAAGCACUGAUGGCCUGGUCAUGGCCUGGAGCAUGGUGGGGAAGUACGAGCGCUGCCUGAUAGCCUUCAAGCAUCCCAAGUAGGUGUCUGUGAAGCCCGGAGCGAUGAACCUGGUGUCCUUCCCUUCCCCGUCAUAGCCUAGACUGCAAUCAUUGGCAGACCUUCUGCUCCCUGUAGACAUCAUGUUCUCUGCACCUCACCCUCUCUGCUUCCCUCCUCUUCCACCUGGGACCCAUUUUUCCCCACCAUCUUCUCUGUCUGACUGUUAACCUCU